UAGGGAAUCUUCGGCAAUGGGGGGAACCCUGACCGAGCAACGCCGCGUGAGUGAAGAAGGUUUUCGGAUCGUAAAGCUCUGUUGUUAAGGAAGAACGAGUGUGAGAAUGGAAAGUUCAUACUGUGACGGUACUUAACCAGAAAGGGACGGCUAACUACGUGCCAGCAGCCGCGGUAAUACGUAGGUCCCGAGCGUUGUCCGGAUUUAUUGGGCGUAAAGCGAGCGGAGGCGGUUAGAUAAGUCUGAAGUUAAAGGCAGUGGCUCAACCAUUGUAGGCUUUGGAAACUGUUUAACUUGAGUGCAGAAGGGGAGAGUGGAAUUCCAUGUGUAGCGGUGAAAUGCGUAGAUAUAUGGAGGAACACCGGUGGCGAAAGCGGCUCUCUGGUCUGUAACUGACGCUGAGGCUCGAAAGCGUGGGGAGCGAACAGG
Molecule: ribosomal RNA, 429 nt
Filed under: Bacteroidota bacterium
Lineage: Bacteria; Pseudomonadati; Bacteroidota
Description: Bacteroidetes bacterium partial 16S ribosomal RNA
Rfam family: Bacterial small subunit ribosomal RNA
Source: RNAcentral